ACGCUCGACACCUACGGGAGGCGGCAGUGGGGAAUAUUGCACAAUGGGGGAAACCCUGAUGCAGCGACGCCGCGUGGAGGAAGAAGGUCUUCGGAUUGUAAACUCCUGUUGUUGGGGAAAAAGAGGAUGGUACCCAACAAGGAAGUGACGGCUAACUACGUGCCAGCAGCCGUGGUAAUCUGAGCGGGCUGGCAAGGC
RNAcentral lists this ribosomal RNA (198 nucleotides) under uncultured bacterium. RNAcentral's name for it is "partial 16S ribosomal RNA". It matches the Rfam family "Bacterial small subunit ribosomal RNA", at positions 328 to 539 of the family's 1533-position model. The record is from RNAcentral.